Long non-coding RNA from Scylla paramamosain (green mud crab), 566 nucleotides. RefSeq lists it as uncharacterized. The transcript is spliced from 2 exons. Lineage: Eukaryota; Metazoa; Arthropoda; Malacostraca; Decapoda; Portunidae. The record is from RefSeq and is a predicted model, not a curated record.
AGGUUCAUUCAAACUUUACUCUGCUGCAUGGACUGUAUCAGCUUGUAUUCAGGCAGGUCAAGUUGGGCGAUACAAGUGUGUGCUGGAAGGAAGCUGUCAUCUGCUGGCUUUUGGAUUAUCAACCUGGAAGCCUGGAAGUGAUAGAAAGAAGGAAGAGGAGAAGAUAGAUGAUAAUAAGGAGGGAAGAAAGAGAAAGAGAGAGAGAGAAGACAACAAAGAAGGAAGAGGACAUGAGAGAAGAAUGAGGAUAAUAGAAGAGGAAGAAAAAAAGAAGAAAUGAGAGAAAGAUAGAAAAGAUAAAUAAAAGAAAAAUAAAUCCUCCCCCCUGCCCCCCUUUCUCUCUCUCUCUCUCUCUCUCUCUCUCUCUCUCUCUCUCUCUCUCUCUCUCUCUCUCUCUCUCUCUCUCUCCCACAAUCCACAGACCCACAGUAUGUCUCCCACAGUAUGUUGACAAACCCAGUCACUCCCCACAGCCUCUCACAAAUAUACCCCUCUCUCUCUCUCUCUCUCUCUCUCUCUCUCUCUCUCUCUCUCUCUCUCUCUCUCUCUCUCUCUCUCUCUCUCUC